Molecule: ribosomal RNA, 253 nt
Filed under: uncultured bacterium
Lineage: Bacteria
Description: partial 16S ribosomal RNA
Rfam family: Bacterial small subunit ribosomal RNA
Source: RNAcentral
UACGGAGGGUGCAAGCGUUAUCCGGAUUUACUGGGUUUAAAGGGUGCGCAGGCGGAUAUGUACGUCAGUGGUGAAAUCUCUUGGCUUAACCCGGAAAUUGCCAUUGAUACUAUAUAUCUUGAAUGUUGUGGAGGUAAGCGGAAUAUGUCAUGUAGCGGUGAAAUGCUUAGAUAUGACAUAGAACACCUAUUGCGAAGGCAGCUUACUACGCAGAUAUUGACGCUCAUGCACGAAAGCGUGGGGAUCAAACAGG